UACGUAGGGGGCGAGCGUUAAUCGGAAUUACUGGGCGUAAAGCGUGCGCAGGCGGCUUUGCAAGACAGAUGUGAAAUCCCCGGGCUUAACCUGGGAACUGCAUUUGUGACUGCAUGGCUGGAGUGCGGCAGAGGGGGAUGGAAUUCCGCGUGUAGCAGUGAAAUGCGUAGAUAUGCGGAGGAACACCGAUGGCGAAGGCAAUCCCCUGGGCCUGCACUGACGCUCAUGCACGAAAGCGUGGGGAGCAAACAGG
Molecule: ribosomal RNA, 253 nt
Filed under: uncultured bacterium
Lineage: Bacteria
Description: partial 16S ribosomal RNA
Rfam family: Bacterial small subunit ribosomal RNA
Source: RNAcentral